Ipomoea nil (Japanese morning glory) is the source of this 729-nucleotide long non-coding RNA. RefSeq lists it as uncharacterized. Lineage: Eukaryota; Viridiplantae; Streptophyta; Magnoliopsida; Solanales; Convolvulaceae. The transcript is spliced from 4 exons. The record is from RefSeq and is a predicted model, not a curated record.
CUGUUGCAUGAUUUAAGUUGAUUGAUUAAUUGUUAUCACUCUUGUUAUGUUUUUCCUUCUUCUUACGUGUGUACAUUAUCCACUGAUUAUGUUAUUAACACAUAGUGUGCAUAGGUCUUCUUCUUCUCUUUGUACCUCAGAACUCUGGCCUCCCUGUCUAUUUGAGUAAGUUGUGGAGGCAUCUGAAUUGGAGGACCUGAGAAAUGUCAAUUGUCUCUUUCAUGGCAUGAACUAAACUCAGCAAGCUCCAAAAUCAGAAUCAACAUUUGUUGCAGAUGCUGGCUGAAAGAGAUGAACUUAAUAUCAAGGAGAAUUGAAGAGGUUGCGAAACCUUGUUGCAGAUGCAAAAGCUAACAAUAUAAAAAUUGUCUGUGCUUUAGUCAAAAGAAUGUUGGAAAGGAACAUGUUUCUCCAUGGGUUUGUGGAUAUAAAUGAAGGUUGUGCAACAGAAAGAGUAAAUGAACUUACAGAGAUACAGAAUGCUAGAGUCCAAACUGCAUAUGAGAAGUUGUUUGCAAACACACGAAUUGAGCACUUCACCCAUUUGGACAUGGUAUGCUCCAAAACACCUGGUCAGAUAAUUGAUGGAUUGUUUCUUGCUAUUUGCAUUCCUUAUAGAUGGAGUAUAUGUUGUUGGAUGACCCCACUAUGACAAUUUUCUGGCCUUGUUUCUGACUUAAUUCAUUCUUGGUCUGUUUUCUUCUUCAUAUAAGAAAAGUUUGUCACUGU